RNA transcript from Panicum virgatum (switchgrass), 1143 nucleotides. It is a transcript of the gene named probable enoyl-CoA hydratase 2, mitochondrial, with no coding region annotated. NCBI's taxonomy places the organism in Eukaryota, Viridiplantae, Streptophyta, Magnoliopsida, Poales, Poaceae. The transcript has 8 exons. The record is from RefSeq and is a predicted model, not a curated record.
GUAUUUGCAUUUUUAACUUUUCCCACAUCACACUGCUUGCACCAAACACGCCUCAAUUGUCCCCACUUCCAGAAUGCGCAGCCCGCGGGGCCUCCUCGCCAUCUCCGGCUACCUUGCCGGCCGCCAUGCUCCGGCGGCCUCCGUAUCCAUUGCCGGCCACCACUCCCUCUUCUUUGCCCGCACCUUCCAAAUCCUAGCCCAGCCGGAGCCCGUCCGCCUCCAGGAGCUCUCGGCACCCGACUCCGGGAUCCUAGAGCUCAGGCUUGAGCGGCCGGAGGUCAAGAACGCCAUCAAUCGGGAUGUGAUGAGGAGGCUGCGGAGUGCCAUAGAGAAGAUUCAGGCCGACUCGAUGGCGAAGGUUGCCCUGGUUGCGAGCUCAGUCCCAGGGGCUUUCUGCGCAGGCGCCGAUCUCAAGGAAAGGAAGCUAAUGAGCUCUUCUGAAGUUGGAGAGUAUGCUAGAUCCCUGAGGUCUAUAUUCUCGUCUUUUGAGGCACUCCCUAUUCCAACAAUUGCUGUUAUUGAAGGAGCUGCUUUGGGUGGUGGCCUAGAGUUGGCUCUUUCAUGCGAUCUCCGCAUAUGUGGGGAAAAUGCAGUACUUGGAAUGCCAGAAACAGGCCUUGCCAUUAUACCUGGAGCUGGAGGCACACAGCGCCUUCCUAGGAUUGUGGGGAGGUCGAGGGCAAAGGAACUGAUAUUAACUGGCCGUAGAUGUGAUGCAGCUGAAGCUGUAAUGAUGGGACUUGCAAACUAUUGUGUUCCAGCAGGAGAGGCUUAUCAAAAAGCUCUUGAUAUUGCCCGCGAGAUAACUCAAAAGGGUCCCCUGGGGAUAAGAAUGGCGAAGAAGGCUAUAAACCAGGGGAUGGAGGUCGCCGACAUGUCCUCGGCAUUGGCUGUUGAAGGGGGAGUGCUACGAGCAGCUGCUGCACACGCAGGAUCGCCUUGAGGCCCUGGUUGCGUUUUCGGAGAAAAGGAAGCCUGUCUACAAGGGAAAGUAAAGUAGUGUCAUGUCAUGUUGCUGUUAGACCGUUGGGGCUCCUGUCCUGGUGGACGGAGUGUGUGUAUGAACUGUAAGAUAGGGAGAAACGUUGAACGGGCCCUGGAUUGUAUAUGGAGGCUAGAUGCCAGAUGGCCUGUGCAUCUGCA